Long non-coding RNA from Corvus hawaiiensis (hawaiian crow), 386 nucleotides. RefSeq lists it as uncharacterized. The transcript is spliced from 4 exons. The record is from RefSeq and is a predicted model, not a curated record. Lineage: Eukaryota; Metazoa; Chordata; Aves; Passeriformes; Corvidae.
GAAAGCUAGAUCUCAGCAGUCAAGGUCAAAUGAGCAAGGGGGUCCACUUGUAUUAUGCCAAGCCCCCUCACCGACUGGCCGAUGUACCCGGCUUGCUGCCCUUAUGAGCCCUCCCAAAGCAUUAUGGGCCUCUGCGAUGAAGCCUUUGCCCUUUCCAUUCAAAGAUACCGUCCGGGCAGACUUUGGCAAUGGCCGAGAAGUUGGGGUAUACCCUGGGAUGAUGGCGUCAGCCUUGGAGCGUGGCCAAAGUGUGUGGCCCCAGGACCCCGGCCUUCUUAGGAGACGCUGACUAAGAGACAACAGCCCGGCAAUGGCAGGAGCUUCCUGGAUGGCAAGGCGGCCCUCUUUUGCACCCGAAGAGGAUUCACAUCCCUGGAUGUCUGAGA